UACGGAGGGUGCGAGCGUUGUCCGGAAUCACUGGGCGUAAAGGGCGCGUAGGCGGCGCGGGUAGUCAACGGUGAAAGCUUGGGGCUCAACCCCGAGUCGGCCGUCGAUACUCCCGCGCUCGAGCACUGUAGAGGCAGGUGGAAUUCCGGGGUGUAGCGGUGGAAUGCGUAGAGAUCCGGAAGAACACCGGUGGCGAAGGCGGCCUGCUGGGCAGUAGCUGACGCUGAGGCGCGACAGCGGUGGGGAGCAAACAGG
RNAcentral lists this ribosomal RNA (255 nucleotides) under uncultured bacterium. RNAcentral describes it as "partial 16S ribosomal RNA". It matches the Rfam family "Bacterial small subunit ribosomal RNA", at positions 524 to 776 of the family's 1533-position model. The record is from RNAcentral.